Molecule: long non-coding RNA, 1617 nt
Organism: Pseudopipra pipra
Lineage: Eukaryota; Metazoa; Chordata; Aves; Passeriformes; Pipridae
Exons: 2
Source: RefSeq, a predicted model, not a curated record
CAGACAAGAAGGUAAUUAUUCUUUUCCCCAGCAACUUAAUCCAUAAAAGAUACUCCUAAGAAACCUAGGAAAAGUGGAUUUGGGGAUAGAAAAUACUAUUGAAUAAAAUAAUUGCAGUUUUUCCUGGAGAUCUCUCUGGCUCUUUGUGCUAGUUUUGGCUAGGGUAGAGUUAAUUCACAGUCACUCCUACCAGGCUGUGUUUUGGAUUUGUGCUGGAAACAGUGUUAAUAACACAAGGAUGUUUUUGUUACUGCUGAGCAGUGCUUACACACUCAAGGCCUUUUCUGCCUCUCACCCCACCCCACAAGUGAGUGGGCUGCGGGUGUGUAGUGGGUUUCUGUGGCUAGUUUCAGUAGCAGGGUUGCUACAGGGGUGACUUCUGUUAGAAGCUGCCCAUGUCUGGUGGAGCCAAUGCCAGCCAGCUCGAGGACAGGCUUCCUGCCGCUGGCCAAGGCCAAGUGAAUUAGGAGUGACAGCAACGCCUCCGUGAUAACAUAUUUAAGAACAGAAAGUUAUUGUGCAGAUAAAAAUUCCAGCAAUGGAAGAGCGGAGUGAGAACAUGGGAAUAACAAUGUAGACACCAAGGUUGGUACAGAAGGAGGGGGAGGAGGUUCUCCAGGCGCUGGAGCUGAGGCCCCUGCAGCCCGUGGCACAGACCACGGUGGAGCAGCUGUGCCCCUGCAGCCCAUGGAGGACCAUCGGGUUGCAGAGACCCACCUGCAGCCCGUGGUGGAGUCCAUGCCGGAGCGGGUGGAUAUCCAAAGGAGGCUGUGACCCUGUAGGAGGCCCAUGAUGGAGCAGGGUCCUGGCAGAGACCUGAAACCUGUGGAGAGGAAAGCCCACGCUGGAGCAGGUUUUUCCCAGGUCAUACAAAAAUGCCUGCAACCUACUAGAAAACAGAUGUCCAGGAAUCUUCUACUGAUGUGGCAAAACUCAGUAAAAGAUGUUUCUAUUAGUAUGAAUGGAAAGGAAAUAUGAACACAAGGGUACAAAAUAGCAAGAGGAGGAGAGCUAUAAAAACGGCUGACACAUGCCGUAGAGAGCCAUCAAGAUCCUGGCACACAUCUACCUACAGUCCUCAGGACAGCUGGAAUCAGAAGUGGUGAAUAAAUCCUACUGACUCACAGUAGGAUUUGGGACAUUUGACUCCUGACACAUCAAUCAGACUCAUCCACAACUGGUACACUCCUAAUAAGAACCCUGAAAGUGGGGGUUUGAUUUGAAAGAUUUGAAAACUGGUGCUGCUUGUCAUUUCAAGCCACCCUGGAGAGCCUCCCUGGGUACAGAUGUCGAUGCCUGCCUACUGUCAGACUACUUACAUGCAUUUUAGUUCUUGUUAUAUUAAAAUGUGAGUAUUAGGGGCUGAAUCAGUUGUGUUUUAAAAUAAAUCAAUAUUUCCAUUCUGUGAGAUAGUGCACUUGAGAUACUGCAUCAACCUUCAUUAAUGCCAUGGACAUAAGAACAAACAAGUACACACAGCCUCAUCUGUACAGUGCAGUUUUCCCCCAGGCAGCUGGAGGCUCUGCACAGUUGUGAACAAGGGGAACUCUGCAUUACCUGCCCCAUAUAUCUGAAACUGAUGUGGAAAUUAAAUUUUCUGAUUCACGAACCAUUGAA